AAAUUGAAGAGUUUGAUCAUGGCUCAGAUUGAACGCUGGCGGCAGGCCUAACACAUGCAAGUCGAACGGUAACAGGAAACAGCUUGCUGUUUCGCUGACGAGUGGCGGACGGGUGAGUAAUGUCUGGGAAACUGCCUGAUGGAGGGGGAUAACUACUGGAAACGGUAGCUAAUACCGCAUAAUGUCGCAAGACCAAAGAGGGGGACCUUCGGGCCUCUUGCCAUCGGAUGUGCCCAGAUGGGAUUAGCUAGUAGGUGGGGUAACGGCUCACCUAGGCGACGAUCCCUAGCUGGUCUGAGAGGAUGACCAGCCACACUGGAACUGAGACACGGUCCAGACUCCUACGGGAGGCAGCAGUGGGGAAUAUUGCACAAUGGGCGCAAGCCUGAUGCAGCCAUGCCGCGUGUAUGAAGAAGGCCUUCGGGUUGUAAAGUACUUUCAGCGGGGAGGAAGGGAGUAAAGUUAAUACCUUUGCUCAUUGACGUUACCCGCAGAAGAAGCACCGGCUAACUCCGUGCCAGCAGCCGCGGUAAUACGGAGGGUGCAAGCGUUAAUCGGAAUUACUGGGCGUAAAGCGCACGCAGGCGGUUUGUUAAGUCAGAUGUGAAAUCCCCGGGCUCAAC
This 623-nucleotide ribosomal RNA is filed under the name Escherichia coli. RNAcentral's name for it is "bacterial SSU rRNA". It matches the Rfam family "Bacterial small subunit ribosomal RNA", at positions 1 to 613 of the family's 1533-position model. The record is from RNAcentral. Lineage: Bacteria; Pseudomonadati; Pseudomonadota; Gammaproteobacteria; Enterobacterales; Enterobacteriaceae. RNAcentral also lists the same sequence under 1 other name.